This 497-nucleotide ribosomal RNA is filed under the name uncultured bacterium. Its description in RNAcentral is "partial 16S ribosomal RNA". It matches the Rfam family "Bacterial small subunit ribosomal RNA", at positions 28 to 507 of the family's 1533-position model. The record is from RNAcentral.
GAUGAACGCUGGCGGCGUGCCUAAUACAUGCAAGUCGAGCGAACGGACGAGAAGCUUGCUUCUCUAAUGUUAGCGGCGGACGGGUGAGUAACACGUGGAUAACCUACCUAUAAGACUGGAAUAACUUCGGGAAACCGUAGCUAAUACCGGAUAAUAUUUUGAACCGCAUGGUUCAAAAGUGAAAGACGGUCUUGCUGUCACUUAUAGAUGGAUCCGCGCUGCAUUAGCUAGUUGGUAAGGUAACGGCUUACCAAGGCAACGAUGCAUAGCCGACCUGAGAGGGUGAUCGGCCACACUGGAACUGAGACACGGUCCAGACUCCUACGGGAGGCAGCAGUAGGGAAUCUUCCGCAAUGGGCGAAAGCCUGACGGAGCAACGCCGCGUGAGUGAUGAAGGUCUUCGGAUCGUAAAACUCUGUUAUUAGGGAAGAACAUAUGUGUAAGUAACUGUGCACAUCUUGACGGUACCUAAUCAGAAAGCCACGGCUAACUACGUG